AGGUCCAGCAGGGGUUUGAACCCUGGAUCUUUGGUUUACGAGACCAACGCCUUACCACUUGGCCACUAGACC
This 72-nucleotide transfer RNA is filed under the name Cordylochernes scorpioides. Its description in RNAcentral is "tRNA-Thr". Lineage: Eukaryota; Metazoa; Arthropoda; Arachnida; Pseudoscorpiones; Chernetidae. The record is from RNAcentral.